RNAcentral lists this ribosomal RNA (425 nucleotides) under uncultured bacterium. Its description in RNAcentral is "partial 16S ribosomal RNA". It matches the Rfam family "Bacterial small subunit ribosomal RNA", at positions 354 to 796 of the family's 1533-position model. The record is from RNAcentral.
GUGGGGAAUAUUGGACAAUGGGCGCAAGCCUGAUCCAGCCAUGCCGCGUGAGUGAUGAAGGCCCUAGGGUUGUAAAGCUCUUUCACCGGUGAAGAUAAUGACGGUAACCGGAGAAGAAGCCCCGGCUAACUUCGUGCCAGCAGCCGCGGUAAUACGAAGGGGGCUAGCGUUGUUCGGAAUUACUGGGCGUAAAGUGCACGUAGGCGGGUAUUUAAGUCAGGGGUGAAAUCCCGGAGCUCAACUCCGGAACUGCCUUUGAUACUGGGUACCUAGAGUAUGGAAGAGGUAAGUGGAAUUCCGAGUGUAGAGGUGAAAUUCGUAGAUAUUCGGAGGAACACCAGUGGCGAAGGCGGCUUACUGGUCCAUUACUGACGCUGAGGUGCGAAAGCGUGGGGAGCAAACAGGAUUAGAAACCCCUGUAGUCC